RNAcentral lists this unclassified non-coding RNA (554 nucleotides) under Hevea brasiliensis (rubber tree). The record is from RNAcentral. Lineage: Eukaryota; Viridiplantae; Streptophyta; Magnoliopsida; Malpighiales; Euphorbiaceae.
AGAGCUUCGUCCGGCGGAGCACGGAUUGGCGACGACGGAGAAUCAAAACUCAGAUUCCAGUACUACAAACGAUGAAAUUCCGGAGAUGAUGUCGUUCUUCGGCGGUAAUGGCGGCCGGCGGGAUACUAAGCCGCCGGUAGCUAAGCCGAUGGCGGAGAACGUGACGUGGAUCGGCGGCGAGAGAGGAGGAAUAUCAGUUCAUCACAACAGUAGAGAUCAUGUGAGGGAUGUGUUGCUGAUUUCCAGUUUGGUUUGUGGAGCUACCGGCGUCGUUUUGCUUGCCGUUUCAGUGUUUGUUUGUGUCGUUUUGAGGUUUCGGAAGGAGAAAUCGGUGGAAAAUGGAAAAGAAACGACGCCGUUGGGUACGCCAGUAGAUGACGUUGUUCUCGCUCAGAAAGGAACUUAACUAUCCUGCUUCGAAAAUUACUCGAAUGGUAAACAUUUUUCACCUAUAAUUAAUUAUUACGAAUUCGAGUCACUAUCGAGCAAAGAGAUAAAAAGCUCGCAGGGAAGAGAUAAAAAAAACUUACAGUGGUCCAUUUUCAAUGUUUGUA